RNAcentral lists this ribosomal RNA (253 nucleotides) under uncultured bacterium. RNAcentral's name for it is "partial 16S ribosomal RNA". It matches the Rfam family "Bacterial small subunit ribosomal RNA", at positions 524 to 776 of the family's 1533-position model. The record is from RNAcentral.
UACAGAGAGUGCAAGCGUUAUUCGGAUUCACUGGGCGUAAAGGGUGCGCAGGCGGUUGGGUGUGUCAGAUGUGAAAUCCCGAGGCUUAACCUCGGAACUGCGUCUGAAACUACUCGACUAGAGUACUGGAGAGGGAAACGGAAUUCACGGUGUAGCAGUGAAAUGCGUAGAUAUCGUAAGGAAGACCAGUGGCGAAGGCGAGUCUCUGGACAGCAACUGACGCUGAGGCACGAAGGCCAGGGGAGCAAACGGG